RNAcentral lists this ribosomal RNA (644 nucleotides) under Baltazaria galactina. RNAcentral's name for it is "eukaryotic LSU rRNA". It matches the Rfam family "Eukaryotic large subunit ribosomal RNA", at positions 1 to 650 of the family's 3401-position model. The record is from RNAcentral. Lineage: Eukaryota; Fungi; Basidiomycota; Agaricomycetes; Agaricales.
CACCUUCGAACUCGACCUCAGAUCAGGUGGGACUACCCGCUGAACUUAAGCAUAUCAAUAAGCGGAGGAAAAGAAACUAACAAGGAUUCCCCUAGUAACUGCGAGUGAAGCGGGAAAAGCUCAAAUUUAAAAUCUGGCGGUCUCUGUGGCCGUCCGAGUUGUAAUUUAGAGAAGCGUUUUCCGCGCCGGUCCGUGUACAAGUCUCCUGGAACGGAGCGUCGUAGAGGGUGAGAAUCCCGUCUUUGACACGGACAGCCGGUGCUAUGUGAUACGCUCUCGAAGAGUCGAGUUGUUUGGGAAUGCAGCUCAAAACGGGUGGUGAACUCCAUCUAAAGCUAAAUAUUGGCGAGAGACCGAUAGCGAACAAGUACCGUGAGGGAAAGAUGAAAAGCACUUUGGAAAGAGAGUGAAACAGUACGUGAAAUUGCUGAAAGGGAAACGCUUGAAGUCAGUCGCGUCCGCCGGGACUCAGCCCUCGUGGUGUACUUUCCGGCGGACGGGCCAGCAUCACUUUCGGUCGUCGGAUAAGGGCGGGGGAAAUGUGGCACCCUUCGGGGUGUGUUAUAGUCCCCCGUCGUAUACGUCGGCCGGGAGUGAGGACCGCCUUUGUUGCAGGAUGCUGGCGUAAUGGCUUUAAACGACCC